Molecule: ribosomal RNA, 192 nt
Filed under: uncultured bacterium
Lineage: Bacteria
Description: partial 16S ribosomal RNA
Rfam family: Bacterial small subunit ribosomal RNA
Source: RNAcentral
AAAUUCGCCUUCAUGAAGCUGGAAUUGCUAGUAAUGGCAGGUCAGCAUACUGCCGUGAAUACGUUCCCGGGCCUUGUACACACCGCCCGUCACACCAUGAGAGUUGGGAAUACCCGAAGCCUGUGAGCUAACUUAUAGAGGCAGCAGUCGAAGGUAGAAUCAAUGAUUGGGGUGAAGUCGUAACAAGGUAAC